This 514-nucleotide ribosomal RNA is filed under the name Enterobacter cloacae. Its description in RNAcentral is "bacterial SSU rRNA". It matches the Rfam family "Bacterial small subunit ribosomal RNA", at positions 768 to 1282 of the family's 1533-position model. The record is from RNAcentral. Lineage: Bacteria; Pseudomonadati; Pseudomonadota; Gammaproteobacteria; Enterobacterales; Enterobacteriaceae.
GCAAACAGGAUUAGAUACCCUGGUAGUCCACGCCGUAAACGAUGUCGAUUUGGAGGUUGUGCCCUUGAGGCGUGGCUUCCGGAGCUAACGCGUUAAAUCGACCGCCUGGGGAGUACGGCCGCAAGGUUAAAACUCAAAUGAAUUGACGGGGGCCCGCACAAGCGGUGGAGCAUGUGGUUUAAUUCGAUGCAACGCGAAGAACCUUACCUGGUCUUGACAUCCACAGAACUUUCCAGAGAUGGAUUGGUGCCUUCGGGAACUGUGAGACAGGUGCUGCAUGGCUGUCGUCAGCUCGUGUUGUGAAAUGUUGGGUUAAGUCCCGCAACGAGCGCAACCCUUAUCCUUUGUUGCCAGCGGUUAGGCCGGGAACUCAAAGGAGACUGCCAGUGAUAAACUGGAGGAAGGUGGGGAUGACGUCAAGUCAUCAUGGCCCUUACGACCAGGGCUACACACGUGCUACAAUGGCGCAUACAAAGAGAAGCGACCUCGCGAGAGCAAGCGGACCUCAUAAAGU